Molecule: small RNA, 499 nt
Filed under: Alternaria alternata
Lineage: Eukaryota; Fungi; Ascomycota; Dothideomycetes; Pleosporales; Pleosporaceae
Description: eukaryotic LSU rRNA
Rfam family: 5.8S ribosomal RNA (bases 196-349)
Source: RNAcentral
UCCGUAGGUGAACCUGCGGAGGGAUCAUUACACAAAUAUGAAGGCGGGCUGGAAUCUCUCGGGGUUACAGCCUUGCUGAAUUAUUCACCCUUGUCUUUUGCGUACUUCUUGUUUCCUUGGUGGGUUCGCCCACCACUAGGACAAACAUAAACCUUUUGUAAUUGCAAUCAGCGUCAGUAACAAAUUAAUAAUUACAACUUUCAACAACGGAUCUCUUGGUUCUGGCAUCGAUGAAGAACGCAGCGAAAUGCGAUAAGUAGUGUGAAUUGCAGAAUUCAGUGAAUCAUCGAAUCUUUGAACGCACAUUGCGCCCUUUGGUAUUCCAAAGGGCAUGCCUGUUCGAGCGUCAUUUGUACCCUCAAGCUUUGCUUGGUGUUGGGCGUCUUGUCUCUAGCUUUGCUGGAGACUCGCCUUAAAGUAAUUGGCAGCCGGCCUACUGGUUUCGGAGCGCAGCACAAGUCGCACGCUCUAUCAGCAAAGGUCUAGCAUCCAUUAAGCC